CAUAUGACCCUUGACCCUGAAAUGUAGACUUGCACAAGUUGUAAACAUGGCAUGGUGGUUUUCUUUCUGUUUUGAUCAAGUUCUAUGAGUUUUAAUGUAAAAAUUGGAACUCCAGAGCCCAUUACUAGCAACAUGGAGAACGUUUUUAAAAAGAUGGCGGCAUGAUGUGUUAGGAGAAAGAGGGAAGACGGACCACGUGGACUGGGUCCUGCGUGAGAACAAAUACAAGAUCAAGGUCAAUUGGUGUCACAUCUCCGGAACCAUCUACAUCCACAGCGAGGAUCUUUCUCCCUCCGACCGUAGAAGGCGUCGUCAAUCACGAUCAACUCGCCCGCUGCACAAGCCAGCCACAUGUUGUGCAGGAAUGAACCCAUUGAUGUAGUGGAAUCAACCAUUCUUCUUCGUGGGGAGGUCCUGAAUUUCGGCAGCACCACCAAUGAAUCGUCAAUAAGAAGACACAAAACUGAACGGAAUGACCCCAUGAGCAAGCCAGAUGUUACUAUCGAAGGGAACAGAAGCAUGCAGUGACUAUCAUAGUAUCAUAACAUAGUCAACUCUUUUAUCUGAUUCGUAAUUGUUGUGCAUCAGAUCUUGUAAGUUGUCAGGAUUUCUAUCUAGAGAGAGAGAGUAUACAUGUAUAAUGAUUGCAUUUACUUGAGAGGUGAGAAGAUGUUUUGUGAGACAUUUUACUAGUAUUUGUGUUCUCAUUUUUGUUUCUUUAGUCCAAGGUUGAUGGUGAAGUGUCGCAGGGAUGUUUAGUAUUAAAAAAAAGGACAAUCUGAAAAUCAGCACCAAGGUCAGAGUCAAUCAUAUCAACUUGUGGCACUUCAUCUGGUUUACUUCACACACGUCUACUAUUUCUUUCUCUACAUCAGUCUUCUUUUCUCUUUAUCAACACUGCCAUUUCCCCCUGUUUUGUUCUGAAGUAGGCCGCAAUAGUUUCUAUUCCAAUUCCUCAUAUAGUUACUCGUACUAUUACUGCUAGACACCAUGGAGUAUUUUACUGGUGGCUACAAGUAUUCUUGGUGGUCUUAAGACAUAUGUUAGGAGACUGGUUUUUGUUCAGUCCAGACUUAAAUUGAGUAAUUUGUGGUUAUGUAAGAGGAUCAUGAAAAGAUAUUGUAAUAAUUUAGACACUGGUGUAUGAUUAUUGCAUGCUUAAUUACCAACCGUAUAGAGGAAAAUAUGACAGCGUCAUAUAACAUUGUUUUGAAUUUAUUAAUCUUUUUCAUAUUUUCAUAUCAACUCUUGAAGACAAUACAACCAGGCUUGAGACAUGAGAGCAAUAGAUGUACCAAUAAUUUAAUGAAGCAUUCAAAAACAGACCAUCACAUCAAAACGAUCCAUACUAAACUGCCGAAUGUGCGGAAGCCAUGUCAUAGGUCACACUGGCAUUGUUAACUCUUCCAGUCUUGAUGGUAUAUUAAAUGAAGCACCAAUGUCAGUAAGGCCAUGUAACAUGGAACUUGGUAAAUAAAAUGAGGAUGAAAAAAGCACAC
Branchiostoma belcheri (Belcher's lancelet) is the source of this 1499-nucleotide long non-coding RNA. RefSeq lists it as uncharacterized. The record is from RefSeq and is a predicted model, not a curated record. The transcript has 5 exons. Lineage: Eukaryota; Metazoa; Chordata; Leptocardii; Amphioxiformes; Branchiostomatidae.